Molecule: long non-coding RNA, 2188 nt
Filed under: Phoenix dactylifera (date palm)
Lineage: Eukaryota; Viridiplantae; Streptophyta; Magnoliopsida; Arecales; Arecaceae
Description: long non-coding RNA (PDAC_LNC000394)
Source: RNAcentral
UUUGGAAUCCCCUAUGAGUGUAGAAUGUUAGGUAAAAAUUUCAUCAAAUUUGGAGUCUGGAAAGUGGAUCAAACCCGGGAUGAAGUAACCGGCUGUCGGUCCGGGUUACUGUUCAUCCGGGUGGAAAAUAGGGGAUUUCAUGCUAUAAUAAGGUAUUAAGCCUAGAUUAGGCUAAGGGAGAUCUUGUACUCAUGCAAGGGAGUCCUUAAUACACAUAAAUGACGAGUUAAUUAAUAGAAAAAGAAAAAAGAAAAGAAAAGAAAAGAUUUAGGGAACGGGGGAGUUGAAUCAAUUAAAGUCCCCUAUAUUAUAAUUGGCACGUAGAUUAUAGCCCUUGAUACAAGACUAAAUGUAUUGUAAAUGCAUGUCACAGUUGGGCAAGAAGCUAGGGAACAAGAGGAAGAAGUUCCCCACUGCCUGCUGUAGAUUUUUGGAGGCGUAUCAGGACUGUGCCGGAUUGACAGGUGAGUGGGAACUUGUACUUUGCACCAUGAGCACAUUCCUUAUUCAUUUUCAUGAAUGUUGCCAAGUGUGACUUGAUUCCACCUGAGCUUAUUGAUUAAUUAUUGUAGUAGAUUCCUCUAUAAUCUUGAUUCUCUAUGCUUGAUUAUUUUGUACAUGCAUUUGAGGAAACAUUGAGAGGAAUUACGNNNNNNNNNNNNNNNNNNNNNNNNNNNNNNNNNNNNNNNNNNNNNNAUUUUGUAAAUUGAUUUCAUUUCCUCUAUUUCAAAGACUUAUGAGUGGUAGCCUUGAUUAUACUCUUUUAUGAGUAGUUAAAUUGGAUCUGAAUUGUGAAAUGAUUUCUUUUGUAAAUUGAUUUCAUUUCCUCUAUUUCAAAAACUUGUGAGUGGUAGCUUUGAUUAUACUCGUUUAUGAGUAAUUAAAUUGGAUCUGAAUUGUGAAAUGACUUCUUUUGUAAAUUGAUUUCAUUUCCUCUAUUUCAAAGAUUUGUAGAGCCCUUCUCAUGGUAUAUUGAGUUGUAUUGCACACCUUUGACCCCUCACUACCAACCCUGAUGUUAGUUUAUGAUUGGGUCGGAGUCGAGUGAGUGGUAGUCUUGAUCAUACUCCUUUUUAGUUGAGUACUGGGAGGGUGCAUUAUGGCAUUUAUGCAUGGCUUGACAGUAUCUGCAGGACACCUAUAGUCGAUGGGGGUUGAACAUCGGCCUUUGUGCACAUAGUAGCCUUCUGGGUGGGCGGAGCCCAGUCCCUUCCUAGGGGGGACACGGCCCUAGGCGUAGGAUCGGCCGGUCCUACGACUUAUAUUCUGCUUGCCGCCGGGCAUAGUAAGACCCCGCGAGGUGCAGUAUGGCUUUCCGCGGAUGUAGAAUUCCCGCGAGGUGCCGUUUAGUAUGUAGAUGUGAGAUGGAUUUCUGUUCUGGAUACUGGCCGGCAUUUACAUGAUUAGUGUGGUGUCUUAUUCCUGCAUAUGCAUGUGACAGUAGGGAGUUGUUGCUGGUUCGCCUGGGGCGUAAAACCCACCUCCCGAUAGCUAUCUAGCACUUAUAUUAUUAGUAUGGUGUCUUAUUCUGCAUAUGCAUGUGACAGUAGGGAGUUGUUGCUGGUUCGCCUGGGGCGUAAAACCCACCUCCCGGCAGCUAUCUAGUGAUGAUUUCAGUAUAUUGACACCUGAUUUGUAUGUUCCAGCAUUAUUAUCUGUUGAGCAUAUUCAUGAGUAGCAUAUAUGUUUACUUGAUUAUUCCAUAUAUGCUUCAGAUGAGUUGAUAUUGAUUGUGGUGAUAUUGAUGAUUUACUCCAUAUUCUCUAUGUUGAGAUCAUGUUCAUCUUGUUAUUGCUCUUGAGAUUUCACCUCGAGCCAUGAUUAUAUCUUGUCUCAUGUGCAUAGUACUCUCUACUCCACUUACUGAGUAUUUAUAUACUCACUCCCCAGUUUGGUGUUUUUAAUUGCAGGGCAGGUAUUGUAUAGAGAAGAGCAGGAUUAGAGAUUGCCUGCUAGCUGUGCCGCUCCAUAGUAUAGUAUAGUAUAAUGUAAAUAGAGGUUUAUACCUUUUGGUGUAUUAUAAACCUUCUAUUGUAUAUAGUGCAUAGUUACAGUCAUAGAUCCUGUUGUGGAUAUGGGUUUGACCAUGGAUGAAUUGGGAAGCAGGCAUAUAUAUAUGUGUGCAGAUCAGUUGUGUGCCUGUGAUAAUGUAUUGCUAUAUAUUGUCCAGGUUUAUUAUGUGACANNN